RNAcentral lists this transfer RNA (71 nucleotides) under Loxodonta africana (African savanna elephant). It matches the Rfam family "tRNA". Rfam says of the family: Transfer RNA (tRNA) molecules are approximately 80 nucleotides in length. Their secondary structure includes four short double-helical elements and three loops (D, anti-codon, and T loops). The record is from Rfam by way of RNAcentral. Lineage: Eukaryota; Metazoa; Chordata; Mammalia; Proboscidea; Elephantidae.
ACAUUGGUGGUUUAGUGGUAGAAUUCUCACCUUUCGUGCAGGAGACCGGGGUUCAAUUCCCAGCCAGUGCG